This is a long non-coding RNA of Mercenaria mercenaria, 1769 nucleotides long. RefSeq lists it as uncharacterized. The transcript is spliced from 2 exons. The record is from RefSeq and is a predicted model, not a curated record. Lineage: Eukaryota; Metazoa; Mollusca; Bivalvia; Venerida; Veneridae.
CACAGGGGCCAACGUUAACUUUUUGCAUGAAGGCACUUUACAUGCAAACAACUUCAUUCAGGACCUUCAAACUUCACAUGCUGAUAGUACUUAUUGAGUACACCACCCCUACUGACUUUGGGGUCACCAGCUCAAAGGUCAAGGUGCUGCGGGGGUAUUUGUCACCAUUAGUGACAGCUCUUGUUUCUCUUUGAAAUACUGUAAAAACAGAAAUACUUGCAGGGAAUUUAGUUUCACUAUAUUUAUUUCUGUCUUUUUGUGAAGUCUCCAUUAAAAUUCACAUGUUUGGUUCAUCUGCUGGAAAAACUUAUGGCUUAUCCACAGUUUAAACCUUGCAAAGCUUGAGCAUUGUAAGUUUUCAUAAAAUUUGGGUUGCAUGAAAAUUUAUCUGGUAUUGUAUUAUUUUCUGUCUUGUUUCAGCAAUAUCCCAUGUAUCAUGUGAGCACAACAUGGCAACAAGUGGUACCCAGACUGAAUAUCAAGGGUAGAGAUCUAUUACAGAGAUUAUUGGUAUGCAAUCCCGUUGGCAGACUAUCAGCGGAGGAAGGAUUACAGCACGGAUAUUUCAGUGAUCUUAGUCCAUCAAUCAAGUUUCCUACUGAUCCUUUCUGAGUGAACAUUCCAAACUCCAAGGACAAAGCCAUCUUAGUUGUUGUAAAUUGUGGUUUUAUAUUGUGCCAUUCAUUUUCAAAUCAACCGUCAGAGGUAGAAACACCUAUUCUUACCAGUUUCUUAAAGUCAUCUGAAAGCAUGUACCAUCAUGUGAAUCUAAGAGGACCAAGUUUGUUGAUACACUAACAGUAUGGUAGAGGUAUAUAGGCUACAGAAUGGUAAUGGUAUGGUGAGGCUUAUAAAAGAACUUGAAGUGUAGCAGCAGAUAAUGAGAUUCCACAACUGGAUAUGGGUUUGCUGAUGCUGAAGAAUUUUACGACUUUUCAAAAUUUACUUUCAGUUUUUCUGGAUUAUAGUAUUAUUGUAUUAGAAGCAUUCCAUUGAAUAGAGAGGGAAGUAAAAUCAUUUAAGGUGAAGAAGGUGUAAUUCAGCGACGUCUGGCGGAACGCCAAACGUUACGCUUCGCAACGUCACGUCAUUACACUCUAUUAAGAAAUAAAAUGGCGUCAAGCAAUGCGGGAGGGCGAUACAAUGUAUGUUUCUUUUUUUUUUUUUUUUUUUUUUUGGUUUUAUCUUCUUUAUUCAUUUUCGGCUGGAUUAUCUUGGUGGUUAAAGGUACCAAAUAAAGACGAAUAAAAAAAAAUAAAUCUUUAAAAAAAUGACUAGUCUACACAUUUUGAAAUAUACUUCUAAGCGUUACAAUAGCGGUGCAAAAUUCGUUUGAAGUCAAAACAUGUGCAGAAAAAUGAUUUUUUUUUUAUUUUCUUUGGCUGACAUGGGUGCAGGGCGUCAAGUUACCUAUAUUUACCUAUAUUUUCCUAUAUUUUAGCCCUCUACCUAUAAUAACCUAUAAAAUCCUAUAUUUUGCCAAAAUACCUAUAAAUACCUAUAAUCUGGAAAUUUUGUGGUAAGCAAGAAAUACAAAGGUCAUUCAAACCAUUAAAAAAGAAGUAAUUCUUUGAUAAUUGAGUUUAUAAAUAUGCUGUUACCUUUUAGGCAUUGAAAUUUGUAUUCCUUUCAGGUGUAGCGACCCUGCCCAGCCCAGCUUUAGGAAAGCUUUAAGUAAUGGAAGUUCUUUUUUCAAUUGGAAUAUUUUCCAUUUCUUAAAGCUUUCAUGUAUAAAAAUGUGAAUAGGAAAUGCACAUGUUUUUAUUUUG